AUGAUUUCAUUUAAAUUCUUUUUUCAGUUUGAUCAACGUCAGAAAUUCAUGGGCCUUCCGACAAGUGAUGAGUUGCAGAAACAAGAUAUUCCGAAGAAGUUUCCGAAGAAGUUUAUGGCUGAGGUGAGAAGUAAAUGGCCCCUGCUCCCACUUCUUUUCUCUGCAUUUUAUACGUAUUCCAGGUUUGAAUAUGCCGAUACUAAUUUUACCUAUGUGAAUUUGCAGCACCUGAAAAUGGACUUCUUGAGGGCAAACUUUAAUUAACCAGUAUGAUAAUGCUUAUUGGGUGGGCUUUACUUUUCUGAACUUUCCCCACUCUUAUAUGUGAGGGGUUGGUUUGCUUGCUUUUAAAAUUCAAGUGUUUUUGUUGUGAGUAUUAAAAGACAGGUGUUCUUUAUUAUUAGAUUGGUUACGAAUAUUUUUAAUGUCUGCUUUGCCAUGGCUUUGAACAACAGUAGAAUGUUUCCUAAAUUCUUUAUAUGCUACAACCCCCAUUUUGAGGUACCAUAAACAGCAAGACCCUACAA
RNAcentral lists this long non-coding RNA (527 nucleotides) under Olea europaea subsp. europaea. The record is from RNAcentral. Lineage: Eukaryota; Viridiplantae; Streptophyta; Magnoliopsida; Lamiales; Oleaceae.